GGCGUGGCCUCUGACUAACCCGAACUUCGGCGUAGACGUAGUGUUAAACCGUGGUUCAUACGCGCCUCUGUAGUGGCAAGACCUGGGACUCCAGUCACUCAUUGUUUCUACAAAGGUGCCUUGAGUCCCCGGUGCUUAUGGGCCUGUGCUAAGCUAGUGGCAAAACCCCGAAGCUAUUUGGUCUCCUUGCGGGAGCUCGGCGCUUGCUGGGGCCACGCUCUGCUUGCUUGGGCGUGGCCUCCUGUGAGAGGGGGCCCUAGGAUGAGGCGAUAUGCUGGAUUCCUGGGCUUCCUUAACAUGAGCCCUCCCCUGCUGUAGACGUGAAUGGAACCCGUUAAGUUAUGGGAACGUUCCCGGCACUCCUUUCCUUUCCUCUCAAGUGCCAGUGGGAUGUCCGAAUAGGGUCUGGCACCAUGACUGUCUGGACUCAAAAGUGCCUUCAGGAGGCCCUAGCAAAAUUUACUAGUGUCUGCUUGGAGUAGUAGCAGCUCUUGUGAUGGACUCCGGACAGCCAGCGUUCAUUCCCUGACUCCCUUCUGUUACUUUUUAAGUAAAAUAAUGAAAAUAUUUCAAAUAGAGUAAUACAGAUUCCUGUGGACCGACCACUAGCUUGAAAUUUUAUCAGACUUGCUUUCAUUCUUUUUUCCUCCCAGCUUUAUUGAGGUGUAAUCAAUGAUUCAUUCUUUUUUAAAUAGAACAAUACAUAUAGGCAGAAGCCCCUGCGUACCUCCUCCAUCUCAUUCUGUCUCCCUCCCCAGUGGCAAUCACUGUGCUGAGAAUGUUGUAUAUCAUGUCCAUGCAUGUCCUUAUAUGCAUACCCAUAAAUAAUAUUUUCUUUUGCAUGUUUAGACAUAUCAUGGAAUGGAAUCAUAGUUGUACCUCUCAUUGUGCACCUUUCUCCUCUCUCAAAAUUAUACUCUCAAGAUUUAUCCAUUUGGUCAAUCGCUAGAUAAUUUUCACUGCUCAUUGUAUGACUGACCCAUAUUUGUUUUUACAUUCCUUAGUGAGAGAGGUUAUUUCUACUUUAACGGCCUUACAGAGCAGCAAUGAACAUCAUGUGCAAUGGAUUCACCAAGCAGAUUCCCAAAAGUGAAUUUGCUGCGAAAUCUGCAACUUUGUUAGCUAUUACCAAAUUGCUCUCUGGGUUGAUUGCAUCAAGGUACCAAUUUAGACUCCCAUUGGCAGUAUACGUAGUUUGAGGGUCCCCGUGGACUAAUGUCUGAUUCAUGCAUGAGAAAUCUGAACCGAGAGAGGCUAGCCGAGGCAGCUUGGGGUGGAGGUGGGAGGCGGAGAAUAAUGGCUGCAGAGGGAUCAGCUUGCAUACACAGAAUUUGCCAGCACAAAGAACGUGCAGGUGUUUCCCAUGGAGCAGAUGUGGACCACCAUGAGACAGCUUAGGUCCUGCCCAACAGGCCUGGGAGGAAGGCAAUGAACUUCAGCACUGAGAACCUCAAAGAGUCACCAAAUUCCUAGAGGCUGAAAAAGGAGUACACAUUUGCCUUGCCAGAGGAACCUCAGAUGGAUUCUCGCUCUGUCGCCCAGGCUGGCGUGAUCUCGGCUCACUGCAACCUUUGCCUCCUGCCUCCUGGGUUCAAGCAGUUCUCCCUGACUCAGCCUCCGAGUGGCUGGGAUUACAGGCACCAGCCACCACACCCGGCUAAUUUUUAUAUUUUUAGUAGAGAUGCAGUUUCUCCAUGUUGGCCAGGCUAGUCUUGAACUCCUGACCUUAGGUGAUCCACCCGCCUUGGCCUCCCAAAGUGUUGGGAUUACUGGCGUGAGCCCCCGCCCCCGGCCUAAAAACACCAUUUUUAAAUUAAAAUUAUUUUUCCACGUUCUUACAAAGUGAACUUUUUAAUUAAAUCCAAGUACAUCUUCAGAAUGUUUCUGGAGUUGAAAGGCACAGUGCAAAUAGAAAUUACUACAAUCAACAAAAUUGAUUUUAAAAAGUAUUUUUAGCACAAAAAAGUUUUCUUUAUAUCAUACUAAAUUCAGAGCAUUACAUCAUUCCCAGAAUACCUAGUUUGAAGCUUAUUUUUUUUUCCAUUCACUUGCAAGCUGGAUUAAGACAUUAACUAUAAUAAUAUGGAAUGUUCAGCAUUUAUGUUUGGUAACCAGAUGUAUAUGGUUUGUAUAACCAUACUUUAGAAUUUAGUUCAGAUAAAUUGGUUUUGGUAUACUUUGACUACAGAAAGUGAUUUCAACAUAAGAUGUGAUGAAGGAAGUCUCCCAUGAAAAACUUAGUAAGGAUCAACUGAUGCUAUGGACAAAACCUAAAAAAAGAGAUUUGUAGAUGCUUUCAAGGCUUUGACUAUGAAAUAUAGAAAACUGGAUGGGCAUUCUUACUGACCGGAUGCUUACAAUUUCAAAUGAAGAAACUACUAGCCACUCUAAAAAUUGGAUUAGGGAAAAAAGUGAUUUUAGAACAGUCUUCCAUUUAAAAAAUUUUUCACUGAAAAGAAAAUAUGGAAUAAUUUAAUAUAUUCAAUGUCUGUGAAACACAAAGUAGAAAGUAAUCUUUUAAAAACAUGGAAUACAUAUUUAUUUCUACUUUAAAA
Molecule: long non-coding RNA, 2555 nt
Organism: Homo sapiens (human)
Lineage: Eukaryota; Metazoa; Chordata; Mammalia; Primates; Hominidae
Exons: 2
Source: RefSeq, a predicted model, not a curated record